Molecule: ribosomal RNA, 253 nt
Filed under: uncultured bacterium
Lineage: Bacteria
Description: partial 16S ribosomal RNA
Rfam family: Bacterial small subunit ribosomal RNA
Source: RNAcentral
UACGGGGGGGGCAAGCGUUGUUCGGAAUUACUGGGCGUAAAGCGCACGUAGGCGGCGACGUAAGUUGGGUGUGAAAUCCCUCGGCCCAACCGGGGAACGGCCGGGCAUACUGGCGGUCUUGAGCGGCCUAGGGGCAGAUGGAACAGGCGGUGGAGCGGUGAAAUGCGUAGAUAUCGCCUGGAACGCCGACGGUGAAAACAGUCUGCUGGGGGCUCGCUGACGCUGAGACACGAAAGCCAGGGGAGCGAACGGG